UCCCUGCUGGUCCCAUGGUCAGGACUCUGCACUCUAAAUGCAGAGCGCCCAGGUUCAAUCCCUGGUUGGGGAA
RNAcentral lists this transfer RNA (73 nucleotides) under Ovis aries (sheep). It matches the Rfam family "tRNA". From Rfam's summary of the family: Transfer RNA (tRNA) molecules are approximately 80 nucleotides in length. Their secondary structure includes four short double-helical elements and three loops (D, anti-codon, and T loops). Lineage: Eukaryota; Metazoa; Chordata; Mammalia; Artiodactyla; Bovidae. The record is from Rfam by way of RNAcentral.